Coffea arabica (coffee) is the source of this 884-nucleotide non-coding RNA. The record is from RefSeq and is a predicted model, not a curated record. NCBI's taxonomy places the organism in Eukaryota, Viridiplantae, Streptophyta, Magnoliopsida, Gentianales, Rubiaceae.
GGAAAAAGUGGGGUUCCCUAAAGUUAGAUUUCUGAAAAUAGCUGCCUUGGAUAUUGUCAAGUGGACUGCCUACGAGGGCGUGGACUGUUUUCCAAGUCUACAGAAACUAGCAUUGAAAAGCUGUCGCUCUUUAAAGGAGAUCCCUUCUUGUUUGGGGAGUUCGACUCUUGAAAUUAUUGAGGUGUCUCAUUGUCCCUUCUCUGCAAGAUUUAUAGAGCCACUUCAGGAAGAACAAAUGGACUUGGGAAAUACUGAUCUGAAGAUCCUUAUUUCAUAAGGUUUUCUUUUCCCUUGGAGCAAAAUUUCAGCAAUCGAAAAUCUACCCAAUCUGGAGGUUCUCAAAUUACUUAGUCAAGCCUUCAAGGGGGAAAUAUGGAAUGUGGAAGAAGAGGGGUUCCCUAAAGUCAGAAUCUUGAAAUUAGCUUUCAUGGAUAUUGUCAAGUGGACAGCCUCCGAAUGCUUGGACUGUUUUCCUAGUAUUGGAAGACUGUCUCUUUUUGGAGGAGAUCCCUUCUAGUUUGGGGAGUUCAACUCUUGAAAUAAUUGAGGCCUCUGAUUGUCCCUUCUCUGCAAGUUUUAUACAGCCACUUCAGGAGGAACAAAUGGACAUGGGAAACACUGAUCUGAAAAUCCACAUGUCAUCCCAUGAAAUGGAUUACUGAUCUUCUCACGUACGUUUGGUUUGGUCAGUCAAUUCACUCAUUUUACAUUUUCUAUUAAUUUUCUAGUUUUGUACUAUUACUGGUACUGUUGCAUUAGUCUACCAUCAAGAUCAUGCUAUUCUUGUUGUUUUAAUACGCUUUAUCCUGUCUCAAACUGUGUGGUGCGGACAGCUCCCAGGAUUAUUGUUGUUUCUAAAGAUUUAAAUGAAGCAACCUUUUUUU